This is a long non-coding RNA of Xenia sp. Carnegie-2017, 259 nucleotides long. RefSeq lists it as uncharacterized. Lineage: Eukaryota; Metazoa; Cnidaria; Anthozoa; Malacalcyonacea; Xeniidae. The record is from RefSeq and is a predicted model, not a curated record. The transcript has 2 exons.
AUUCGUAUUUACGAUAUUCCCAACAACACGUUUGAUUCGGAAGAUGACGAUGAUGACGAUGAUGAAGAAGAAGCUGAUGAUGAGGAUGAAGAUGAACAAGAGGAGGAAAUUGAGGCAAACAUUUGAUGAUGAUUUGUUGCUGAAGAAUAAAUUCAAUUUCUAUGAAUUAUUACAAGUACAUGAUUUUUUUUCUUGAAUUGUGUAAUUCAAUAUAAGCUUCAAUUAUUUGCUUCGAAAUAAAGAUAUCUUGAAAUGUUCA